RNAcentral lists this ribosomal RNA (427 nucleotides) under uncultured bacterium. RNAcentral's name for it is "partial 16S ribosomal RNA". It matches the Rfam family "Bacterial small subunit ribosomal RNA", at positions 355 to 774 of the family's 1533-position model. The record is from RNAcentral.
UGGGGAAUAUUGGACAAUGGGCGAAAGCCUGAUCCAGCCAUGCCGCGUGUGUGAAGAAGGUCUUCGGAUUGUAAAGCACUUUAAGUUGGGAGGAAGGGCAGUUACCUAAUACGUGAUUGUUUUGACGUUACCGACAGAAUAAGCACCGGCUAACUCUGUGCCAGCAGCCGCGGUAAUACAGAGGGUGCAAGCGUUAAUCGGCAUUACUGGGCGUAAAGCGCGCGUAGGUGGUUUGUUAAGUUGGAUGUGAAAUCCCCGGGCUCAACCUGGGAACUGCAUUCAAAACUGACUGACUAGAGUAUGGUAGAGGGUGGUGGAAUUUCCUGUGUAGCGGUGAAAUGCGUAGAUAUAGGAAGGAACACCAGUGGCGAAGGCGACCACCUGGACUAAUACUGACACUGAGGUGCGAAAGCGUGGGGAGCAAACA